Molecule: RNA transcript, 581 nt
Organism: Myotis daubentonii (Daubenton's bat)
Lineage: Eukaryota; Metazoa; Chordata; Mammalia; Chiroptera; Vespertilionidae
Gene: SEM1
Gene name: SEM1 26S proteasome subunit
Source: RefSeq, a predicted model, not a curated record
UCCCCCGCGUCUCUAUGGUAGUGCGCGCUCGGCGGCGGCGGCGGCGGCGGCAGUCGGGGUGAGGCGAGUGGGUCCAACUUUCCUGCUGGCCUGAGGGGGUUGGGGCGCGGAGGGUCGCGAUGUCCGAGAAGAAGCAGCCGGUAGACUUGGGUCUCCUGGAGGAGGACGACGAGUUCGAGGAGUUCCCUGCGGAAGACUGGACUGGUUUAGAUGAAGAUGAAGAUGCACAUGUCUGGGAGGAUAAUUGGGAUGAUGACAAUGUAGAGGAUGACUUCUCCAAUCAGUUACGCAUUUUACUACUAGUCCAUACUGACCUCUACACCUGAGCAGAAGAAAGAUGAUUCAUAUGAAUAAUCUCUGGCCUUAAUAUUAUUCAUGGACUUUAGAGCUGAACUAGAGAAACAUGGUUAUAAGAUGGAGACCUCAUAAUAUCCAGAAGAAGUAUUGAAGCAACCUAAAGUUGAUUUACUAAAUUCUAGGUCACAGAAUCCAGGAUGAAUAAACUUAAAAAAUGUUUAUUUCAUUACUUGCUUGGCUUUAUUUUUGCUUUUGUAACACAAAAAAUAAAUGUUUUGAUCUAA